GACGAACGCUGGCGGCGUGCUUAACACAUGCAAGUCGAACGGUAAGGCCCUUCGGGGUACACGAGAGGCGAACGGGUGAGUAACACGUGGGUGAUCAGCCCUGCACUUAGGGAUAAGCCGGGGAAAAUGGGUCUAAUACCGGGUAGGACCAGUGCCUGCACGGGCGGUGGGGGAAAGCUUUUGCGGUGUGGGAUGGGCCCGCGGCCUAUCAGCUUGUUGGUGGGGGGAUGGCCUAACAAGGCGCAGACGGGUAGCCGGCCUGAGGGGGUGACCGGCCACACUGGGACUGAGAGACGGCACAGGCUCCUACGGGAGGCAGCGGUGGGGAAUAUUGCACAAGGGGCGCAAGCCUGAUGCAGCGACGCCGCGUGAGGGAUGACGGCCUUCGGUUUGUAAACCUCUUUCAGCACAGACGAAGCGAAAGUGACGGUAGGUGCAGAAGAAGGACCGGCCAACUACGUGCCAGCCGCCGCAGUAA
This 478-nucleotide ribosomal RNA is filed under the name uncultured bacterium. RNAcentral's name for it is "partial 16S ribosomal RNA". It matches the Rfam family "Bacterial small subunit ribosomal RNA", at positions 28 to 523 of the family's 1533-position model. The record is from RNAcentral.